CGGACACUCUUCAAGGUGCUGCAUGGUUGUCGCCAGGCUCGUGCCGUGAGGUGUCGGGUUAAGUCCCAUAACGAGCGCAACCCUUACUGUUAGUUGCCAGCGGGUCAAGCCGGGAACUCUAACGGGAACUGCCACCGUAAGGUGAGAGGAAGGUGGGGAUGACGUCAAAUCAGCACGGCCCUUAUGUCCAGGGCUACACACGUGUUACAAUGGUCGGUACAAAGGGCAGCUACACCGCGAGGUGAUGCUAAUCUCUAAAGCCGGUCUCAGUUCGGAUCGAAGUCUGCAACCCGACUUCGUGAAGUUGGAUUCGCUAGUAAUCGCGCAUCAGCCAUGGCGCGGUCGAAUACGUUCCCGGGCCUU
RNAcentral lists this ribosomal RNA (363 nucleotides) under uncultured Sphingobacteriales bacterium. RNAcentral's name for it is "bacterial SSU rRNA". It matches the Rfam family "Bacterial small subunit ribosomal RNA", at positions 1023 to 1382 of the family's 1533-position model. The record is from RNAcentral. Lineage: Bacteria; Pseudomonadati; Bacteroidota; Sphingobacteriia; Sphingobacteriales.